RNAcentral lists this microRNA precursor (110 nucleotides) under Rhipicephalus microplus (southern cattle tick). Its description in RNAcentral is "microRNA rmi-mir-5328 precursor". The record is from miRBase by way of RNAcentral. Lineage: Eukaryota; Metazoa; Arthropoda; Arachnida; Ixodida; Ixodidae.
CAAAGAGUGCUGUGAAGCCGAGUUUAGAGGAGUCGAAGCAGCGUUGGCCUGGGACGCCGGCGUUUCAGGGCGCGUUGCUUGCAGCUGCGACGCGGCGUGCAUCGCAGGCG